UAUAGAUAUAUAUUGAUAUAUUUUAAAAUAUAUAUUCACUUAUUCUGGUUCGUUGUAGUCUAGAAUCCCUAACAAACUUAUAUAACAACUUACCCUGUAUGUAUGAAAUUUCUAUGCUGUGUUUAACUCUAAUAGACUGAUCUUGCUCGACGUUUGCGAGAGUGUAUAGGACAUAGGAGGCGCGAUGAAGAUCCUCCUCGACUCGCCCCUCAUGGGCGAGUUCAUCGGCUACCUCAAGUCCAGCUGGGGCGAGAACUCGCGGGUGAGCCAGCGCCGGCGCCGGCUGCGGCAGCUAGUGGCGAUGGUGCGCGGGGUGGCGGACGCCGCCGAGGCCCGGGCGGCCGUGCGGCGCAGCUCCCUCCGCCUCUGGCUGCAGCUGCUGCGGAAGGAGGCGCUGCGGGGGCAGGAGGUGCUCGACGCCACCAGCGACCCCUCCGCCGUCGUCGGCUCGGCCAA
Molecule: long non-coding RNA, 456 nt
Filed under: Hordeum vulgare
Lineage: Eukaryota; Viridiplantae; Streptophyta; Magnoliopsida; Poales; Poaceae
Description: long non-coding RNA (HVUL_LNC006480)
Source: RNAcentral